AGCGGAGGAAAAGAAACUAACAAGGAUUCCCCUAGUAGCGGCGAGCGAAGCGGGAAGAGCUCAAAUUUAUAAUCUGGCACCUUCGGUGUCCGAGUUGUAAUCUCUAGAAGUGUUUUCCGCGUUGGACCGCACACAAGUCUGUUGGAAUACAGCGGCAUAGUGGUGAAACCCCCGUAUAUGGUGCGGACGCCCAGCGCUUUGUGAUACACUUUCAAUGAGUCGAGUUGUUUGGGAAUGCAGCUCAAAUUGGGUGGUAAAUUCCAUCUAAAGCUAAAUAUUGGCGAGAGACCGAUAGCGAACAAGUACCGUGAGGGAAAGAUGAAAAGCACUUUGGAAAGAGAGUUAACAGUACGUGAAAUUGUUGGAAGGGAAACGCUUGAAGUCAGACUUGCUUGCCGGAGCUUGCUUCGGUUUGCAGGCCAGCAUCAGUUUUCCGGGGUGGAUAAUGACGGUUUGAAGGUAGCAGUCUCGGCUGUGUUAUAGCUUUCCGUUGGAUACAUCCUGGGGGACUGAGGAACGCAGCGUGCUUUUUGCGAAAGACUCGUCUUUUUCACGCUUAGGAUGCUGGUGGAAUGGCUUUAAACGACCCGUCUU
RNAcentral lists this ribosomal RNA (594 nucleotides) under Rhodotorula glutinis. RNAcentral describes it as "eukaryotic LSU rRNA". It matches the Rfam family "Eukaryotic large subunit ribosomal RNA", at positions 49 to 655 of the family's 3401-position model. The record is from RNAcentral. Lineage: Eukaryota; Fungi; Basidiomycota; Microbotryomycetes; Sporidiobolales; Sporidiobolaceae.